Molecule: ribosomal RNA, 301 nt
Filed under: uncultured bacterium
Lineage: Bacteria
Description: partial 16S ribosomal RNA
Rfam family: Bacterial small subunit ribosomal RNA
Source: RNAcentral
CAGUCGCCGCGGGAAAACGUAGGUGGCAAGCGUUGUCCGGAAUUAUUGGGCGUAAAGGGCUCGCAGGCGGUUUCUUAAGUCUGAUGUGAAAGCCCCCGGCUCAACCGGGGAGGGUCAUUGGAAACUGGGAAACUUGAGUGCAGAAGAGGAGAGUGGAAUUCCACGUGUAGCGGUGAAAUGCGUAGAGAUGUGGAGGAACACCAGUGGCGAAGGCGACUCUCUGGUCUGUAACUGACGCUGAGGAGCGAAAGCGUGGGGAGCGAGCAGGAUUAGAUACCCCCGUAGUCCCUGUCUCUUAUAC